Molecule: small nucleolar RNA, 77 nt
Organism: Kryptolebias marmoratus (mangrove rivulus)
Lineage: Eukaryota; Metazoa; Chordata; Actinopteri; Cyprinodontiformes; Rivulidae
Source: Ensembl
UGGCAAUGAUGUCUGAAUUUCUUCACCUGAAUCCUCCGUGUGGAUUAAAACAUACGAGCUUUUUAACCCUGAGCAGA